This 497-nucleotide ribosomal RNA is filed under the name uncultured bacterium. Its description in RNAcentral is "partial 16S ribosomal RNA". It matches the Rfam family "Bacterial small subunit ribosomal RNA", at positions 28 to 507 of the family's 1533-position model. The record is from RNAcentral.
GAUGAACGCUGGCGGCGUGCCUAAUACAUGCAAGUCGAGCGAACAGACGCGGCGCUUGCUCCUCUGACGUUAGCGGCGGACGGGUGAGUAACACGUGGAUAACCUCCCUAUAAGACUGGGAUAACUUCGGGAAACCGGAGCUAAUACCGGAUAAUAUAUUGAACCGCAUGGUUCAAUAGUGAAAGACGGUUUUGCUGUCACUUAUAGAUGGAUCCCCGCCGCAUUAGCUAGUUGGUAAGGUAACGGCUUACCAAGGCAACGAUGCGUAGCCGACGUGAGAGGGUGGUCGGCCACACUGGAACGGAGACACGGUCCAUGCGCCUACGGGAGGCAGCAGAAGGCAAUCUUCCGCAAUGGGCGAAAGCCUGACGGAGCAACGCCGCGUGAGUGAUGAAGGUCUUCGGAUCGUAAAACUCUGUUAUUAGGGAAGAACAAAUGUGUAAGUAACUAUGCACGUCUUGACGGUACCUAAUCAGAAAGCCACGGCUAACUACGUG